GGUUAAGCGACUAAGCGUACACGGUGGAUGCCCUGGCAGUCAGAGGCGAUGAAGGGCGUGCUAAUCUGCGAUAAGCGCCGGUAAGGUGAUAUGAACCGUUAUAACCGGCGAUACCCGAAUGGGGAAACCCAGUGUGAUUCGUCACACUAUCAUUAACUGAAUCCAUAGGUUAAUGAGGCGAACCGGGGGAACUGAAACAUCUAAGUACCCCGAGGAAAAGAAAUCAACCGAGAUUCCCCCAGUAGCGGCGAGCGAACGGGGAGGAGCCCAGAGCCUGAAUCAGCAUGUGUGUUAGUGGAAGCGUCUGGAAAGGCGCGCGAUACAGGGUGACAGCCCCGUACACAAAAGCGCAUGUGUUGUGAGCUCGAUGAGUAGGGCGGGACACGUGGUAUCCUGUCUGAAUAUGGGGGGACCAUCCUCCAAGGCUAAAUACUCCUGACUGACCGAUAGUGAACCAGUACCGUGAGGGAAAGGCGAAAAGAACCCCGGCGAGGGGAGUGAAAAAGAACCUGAAACCGUGUACGUACAAGCAGUGGGAGCACCCUUUGGGGUGUGACUGCGUACCUUUUGUAUAAUGGGUCAGCGACUUAUAUUCUGUAGCAAGGUUAACCGAAUAGGGGAGCCGGAGGGAAACCGAGUCUUAACCGGGCGUUAAGUUGCAGGGUAUAGACCCGAAACCCGGUGAUCUAGCCAUGGGCAGGUUGAAGGUUGGGUAACACUAACUGGAGGACCGAACCGACUAAUGUUGAAAAAUUAGCGGAUGACCUGUGGCUGGGGGUGAAAGGCCAAUCAAACCGGGAGAUAGCUGGUUCUCCCCGAAAGCUAUUUAGGUAGCGCCUCGUGAAUUCAUCUCCGGGGGUAGAGCACUGUUUCGGCUAGGGGGCCAUCCCGGCUUACCAACCCGAUGCAAACUGCGAAUACCGGAGAAUGUUAUCACGGGAGACACACGGCGGGUGCUAACGUCCGUCGUGAAGAGGGAAACAACCCAGACCGCCAGCUAAGGUCCCAAAGUCAUAGUUAAGUGGGAAACGAUGUGGGAAGGCCCAGACAGCCAGGAUGUUGGCUUAGAAGCAGCCAUCAUUUAAAGAAAGCGUAAUAGCUCACUGGUCGAGUCGGCCUGCGCGGAAGAUGUAACGGGGCUAAAC
This 1145-nucleotide ribosomal RNA is filed under the name Salmonella enterica subsp. enterica serovar Newport str. CVM 35188. RNAcentral describes it as "bacterial LSU rRNA". It matches the Rfam family "Bacterial large subunit ribosomal RNA", at positions 1 to 1187 of the family's 2925-position model. Lineage: Bacteria; Pseudomonadati; Pseudomonadota; Gammaproteobacteria; Enterobacterales; Enterobacteriaceae. The record is from RNAcentral.